This 468-nucleotide ribosomal RNA is filed under the name uncultured bacterium. RNAcentral describes it as "partial 16S ribosomal RNA". It matches the Rfam family "Bacterial small subunit ribosomal RNA", at positions 28 to 507 of the family's 1533-position model. The record is from RNAcentral.
GACGAACGCUGGCGGCGUGCUUAACACAUGCAAGUCGAACGGAAAGGCCCUGCUUUUGUGGGGUGCUCGAGUGGCGAACGGGUGAGUAACACGUGAGUAACCUGCCCUUGACUUUGGGAUAACUUCAGGAAACUGGGGCUAAUACCGGAUAGGAGCUCCUGCUGCAUGGUGGGGGUUGGAAAGUUUCGGCGGUUGGGGAUGGACUCGCGGCUUAUCAGCUUGUUGGUGGGGUAGUGGCUUACCAAGGCUUUGACGGGUAGCCGGCCUGAGAGGGUGACCGGCCACAUUGGGACUGAGAUACGGCCCAGACUCCUACGGGAGGCAGCAGUGGGGAAAAUUGCACAAUGGGCGGAAGCAUGAUGAAGCAACGCCGCGUGCGGGAUGACGGCCUUCGGGUUGUAAACCGCUUUCGCCUGUGACGAAGCGUGAGUGACGGUAAUGGGUAAAGAAGCACCGGCUAACUACGUG